CCGAAAUUGAAGGAGAUCAAAAUAAAUGCCAAUUACAUAAAGUUUAAUGGAACAAACUUAAACGCAAUUAUGAAAUAUCACAACAAAGAGAAGAUCCAAGUGAUGAAUAACUGAAGAAGAUGUGUCCAAUGUUAGAAGGCAAGACAAAUAAAAAAGAGGUGCAAGGUUUUUAAUCCUUAUAUCCUUGCAAUAAGUUUAGCACCAUUAGGAAUGAACCGGCCGAUAAAUAUGUUAUAUUUUUUUAUUAUUAUUUAUGGAUUUCAAAUGUAAAAAUACAAGAUUACAAUAAUAAAUUUU
Molecule: long non-coding RNA, 297 nt
Organism: Manihot esculenta (cassava)
Lineage: Eukaryota; Viridiplantae; Streptophyta; Magnoliopsida; Malpighiales; Euphorbiaceae
Exons: 3
Source: RefSeq, a predicted model, not a curated record